UACGGAGGGAGCUAGCGUUGUUCGGAAUUACUGGGCGUAAAGGGCGCGUAGGCGGCCUUCUUAGUCGAACGUGAAAUCCCCGGGCUCAACCCGGGAACUGCGUCCGAUACUGGAAGGCUCGAAUCCGGGAGAGGGAUGUGGAAUUCCAGGUGUAGCGGUGAGAUGCGUAGAUAUCUGGAGGAACACCGGUGGCGAAGGCGACAUCCUGGACCGGUAUUGACGCUGAGGCGCGAAAGCCAGGGGAGCAAACGGG
RNAcentral lists this ribosomal RNA (253 nucleotides) under uncultured bacterium. RNAcentral's name for it is "partial 16S ribosomal RNA". It matches the Rfam family "Bacterial small subunit ribosomal RNA", at positions 524 to 776 of the family's 1533-position model. The record is from RNAcentral.